RNAcentral lists this long non-coding RNA (550 nucleotides) under Lepidothrix coronata (blue-crowned manakin). RNAcentral describes it as "lncRNA (ENSLCOG00000000117.1)". Lineage: Eukaryota; Metazoa; Chordata; Aves; Passeriformes; Pipridae. The record is from RNAcentral.
UAGAAUUUUAGUAUGUUUUAAAAUAAUAAUAUAGCAAUAUGGAGAAACAUAUUAUGCAAACACUGUUAUUCUUCUUGUUCUGAUACAGGUCUACCAUACCAAAGAGAGAUUCUAGCUGGAAGAAACAAUCGGUGCAGUGCUUGCCUGAAAGAGGUCACUGAGGGGAGCAGGGCAGGUGUGCAAGAAGCAACCACGGCCUUGUGGCCAAGGGUAGCUGAAGAACUAACACACACAUUCAGGGAGAAAUGACCAAGGCCUUCUGCACUUCAGCUCUUCAGGGACAUACAGGCCUGCUAUAAAACAGUGCAGUCAUUUAGACCCAUUCAAACAAAUUUUUCCUUUUGCUUUCCUUUUUAUUCUUAGAGGCAACAUGAAAGACAAAGAGUUUUCAAAAAGAGGAGGAUCUGGGAAUUCUCAAAACUGCAAGUUAGUUUGUUGGCAUUUUCAUGAUGAAAAACCACAGGAUCAUUUUAUGGUUCUAGAAAACCCAGUCUGAUAACUACUUGUUCCCCAAACUAAGGAGAGGAAGUAAAAACCAGAGAGAACUGAA